GAAGUUGCAAAGAACUUUGAAGAGAGAGUUCAAGAGGGCGUGAAACCGCUUAGAAGCAAACAGAUGGACCUGACGAAGAGUCAGUGGAAUUCAGCUCGUUGCUCUACCUCAGCCUGGUGCUUGACUGAACCGCAAGUUUCCGGAUACUGGUGUGGUCAUUGAGUGCCUUUUCCGCCGAUGCGCACUAGAACCUGUGUUGGUGCUGGAUGUAAGGUUGUGGGUGCCGGCCAACCUAGUUGGUGUCCCGCCACUGCCUGAAACCGAGUUACUGGCACAGGAACAUACGAUGCCCGCCUUUACUCUUUUGCGUAGUUAGCCUUGUCAUCUGACCUGCAGUUUGAUGCUUGCAUGACUCUGCGAUGCCUGGCUUUGUGAGYUGCGUAAUCGAGGUGGCGUCGAUUCUGGUGUUUUAGUCAGUAACCCAUCUGACCCGUCUUGAAACACGGACCAAGGAGUCUAACAUGUGCGCGAGUCACUGGGCUGCGAAACCCAAGGGCGCAAUGAAAGUGAAUGCUAGUUCGGCUGGCUGUCAUGGGACCUUUUGCUUGUCAGAGGAGCACCAUGGUCCCGUCCUUGCUGCAUUGUCAGUUGGGCGGAGAUUUAGCGUACACGUUGGGACCCGAAAGAUGGUGAACUAUGCCUGAGCAGGAUGAAGCCAGAGGAAACUCUGGUGGAGGUCC
RNAcentral lists this ribosomal RNA (680 nucleotides) under Desmodorella verscheldei. RNAcentral's name for it is "partial 28S ribosomal RNA". It matches the Rfam family "Eukaryotic large subunit ribosomal RNA", at positions 359 to 876 of the family's 3401-position model. The record is from RNAcentral. Lineage: Eukaryota; Metazoa; Nematoda; Chromadorea; Desmodorida; Desmodoridae.